Molecule: ribosomal RNA, 116 nt
Filed under: Pteropus alecto (black flying fox)
Lineage: Eukaryota; Metazoa; Chordata; Mammalia; Chiroptera; Pteropodidae
Source: RNAcentral
GUCUACAUCCAUGCCACCCUGAACAAGCUCGAUCCAGUCUGAUCUCAGAAGCUAAGCAGGGUCAGGCCUGGUUAAUACUUGGAUGGGAGACCACCUAGGAAGACCAGGCGUAAAAA